This 345-nucleotide unclassified non-coding RNA is filed under the name soil metagenome. RNAcentral describes it as "partial contains 5.8S ribosomal RNA, internal transcribed spacer 2, and large subunit ribosomal RNA". The stretch from base 1 to 120 matches the Rfam family "5.8S ribosomal RNA", at positions 35 to 154 of the family's 154-position model. The record is from RNAcentral.
GAUGAAGAACGUAGCGAAAUGCGAUAAGUAAUGUGAAUUGCAGAAUUCAGUGAAUCAUCGAAUCUUUGAACGCACAUUGCGCCCGCCAGUAUUCUGGCGGGCAUGCCUGUCCGAGCGUCAUUGCUGCCCUCAAGCACGGCUUGUGUGUUGGGCCUCCGUCCUCCUCCCGGGGGACGGGCCCGAAAGGCAGCGGCGGCACCGCGUCCGGUCCUCGAGCGUAUGGGGCUUCGUCACCCGCUCUUGUAGGCCCGGCCGGCGCUUGCCGACACAUCAAUCUUUUUUCCAGGUUGACCUCGGAUCAGGUAGGGAUACCCGCUGAACUUAAGCAUAUCAAUAAGCGGAGGA